Molecule: ribosomal RNA, 253 nt
Filed under: uncultured bacterium
Lineage: Bacteria
Description: partial 16S ribosomal RNA
Rfam family: Bacterial small subunit ribosomal RNA
Source: RNAcentral
UACGAAGGGUGCAAGCGUUAAUCGGAAUUACUGGGCGUAAAGCGCACGUAGGCGGUUAGUUAAGCUGGAUGUGAAAGCCCCGGGCUCAACCUGGGAAUUGCAUUCAAAACUGGCUAACUAGAGUAUGUGAGAGGGGGGUAGAAUUCCAAGUGUAGCGGUGAAAUGCGUAGAGAUUUGGAGGAAUACCAGUGGCGAAGGCGGCCCCCUGGCACAAUACUGACGCUGAGGUGCGAAAGCGUGGGGAGCAAACAGG